RNAcentral lists this long non-coding RNA (1912 nucleotides) under Takifugu rubripes (torafugu). RNAcentral's name for it is "lncRNA (ENSTRUG00000031855.1)". Lineage: Eukaryota; Metazoa; Chordata; Actinopteri; Tetraodontiformes; Tetraodontidae. The record is from RNAcentral.
AUGAAGACUGGGCCAAAGAGCAAAGAGCAGCAGGUGGGCGGCGCUCAGCGUAUGAUUGAAGAUACCCGAAAGAUCAAUCGCUUCUUCGCUGAUGAGGGAUGCAGCGAGUCUCUGUGGCUCGGCGAGUUGCUGCUCUGCCUGGCUGAGAUUCUGCGCCUGCAGGACCCUGCAAGUGUUCAGCUGGAGAUGGUCAACCUGGCCCGAGCAUUCCCUGACCUCAGGUAUGUGAGACAGUCAGAACUGGCGGAGGUUAAUGGACGCUGGUACAGAAGAAAGGACAACACACUGAUAGAAUAAAUAUAUAGACUGCAUGGUGGUUCAGACGGUGACGUUUGUGCAUCAGGAACCUCCUGCCAUUGGUCACUCUGUGUCCUCUCAGACCUGAAAAUGGUUGUUCUGUGUUUCAUAUGGAAACGCUGAAACCUAGCUGCUGUUGCAACCCUACACCUGGUCUCUGUGGUGACUGCAGGUGGGGUUCAGAUGUACAGAGAACAGAAAACCACUGGGUGGUGUCAUGUUUAAACACACCAUUGACAGUAGAGUAGCCACCCAGCUUGUGUUUGUCUUCUUUCAGGAGCUGUCUGAGUAAAAUAAAAACCUCUCCCAGUUCACAGGUUGUCCCACAUUUUGGGAACAUGUUAAGAUUUCAUUUGCUUUCCUUGUUCUUUCCUUGUUCAUCUAGAACCUAUAUAUAGAACCCAUCUAUAUGAUCCCCAUUUUAUUCCUGUUUAUAGCUUAUUUCAGAGAAGUGGUAGCUCACCCUGUUGGGAACUGGGCUGAGAAGCGGAGGGGUCUCGGUUCUAGCCCCAGUGCAGGCAAAACAUGAAAGGUAUCAACAUCUUCAGAGCACUGUCGAGGUACCCUUGAGCAAGGUACCGAACCCACAAUUGUUCCCAUAGUGCCCUAGUCCCUCCAGGGGUGGACUCCUAUCCUUUAUUCUUUGUCUUGUUGGUUAUUGUUUCUUUCUUUAUUUGUAAAAAUCGAAAGGCUGAGCCGAAAGGCGAAGCUCUCGAUUUACCGGUCAAUCUUCGUUCCUACCCUCACCUAUGGUCAUGAGCUUUGGGUAAUGACCGAAAGAACAAGAUCACGGGUACAAGCGGCCGAAAUGAGCUUCCUCCGUAGGGUGGCUGGGCUCUCCCUUAGAGAUAGGGUGAGAAGCUCUGCCAUCCGGGAGGAGCUCGGAGUAGAGCCGCUGCUCCUCCGCGUUGAGAGGAGCCAGAUGAGGUGACUUGGGCAUCUAGUUAGGAUGCCCCCUGGACGCCUCCUGGGUAAGGUGUUCAGGGCAUGUCCCUCCUGUAGGAGACCCCCGGGAAAACCCAGGACACGUUGGAGAGAAUAUGUCUCUUGACUGGUCUGGGAACGCCUGGGGAUCCGGAGGAGCUGGAAGAAGUAGCUGGGGAGAGGGAAGUCUGGGCUUCUCUCCUUAGGCUGCUGCCCCCGCGACCCGACCCCGGAUAAGCGGUAGAGGAUGGAUGGAUGGAUGGAUGGAUUGACUUUUACGAUGAGUUGAGCUAAAGCAGAGCUUAUACUUUUCAGCGAUGCACACAUGGCGGCCCUGCUGUCCCUAAAAAACAGCCUAUCAGCAGCUGACAUUCGCUCCAUCAGGCAGAGCAUGGAGGAAAAUCGGCACCAGGAUGUCCACAGACACCAUAGGCCUCCAUUUUUCUCCAAGGUCAAAGUCACAUGGAUCAAUAAGAUAAAUCAAAUCAAACUCAAGACAAGAAUUUCUUUGCAUUCCUGAAUUGACAUGUUUGCCACAUUUUAUUUAUUUAACUAUUUUAUUUUAAACUGUCCCAUCGCUGUUUAUUUAGAAAGCUAGUUGCAGGCUCCAUAUCUACUGUAGUUGAUCAAAAACCAAACGAUCUACAGCCUUAUUCCUCUGUAAUUAAUGUGCAAUCUAUACCGAAUAAAG